This 397-nucleotide ribosomal RNA is filed under the name Escherichia coli. Its description in RNAcentral is "bacterial LSU rRNA". It matches the Rfam family "Bacterial large subunit ribosomal RNA", at positions 887 to 1280 of the family's 2925-position model. The record is from RNAcentral. Lineage: Bacteria; Pseudomonadati; Pseudomonadota; Gammaproteobacteria; Enterobacterales; Enterobacteriaceae.
AAUUCAUCUCCGGGGGUAGAGCACUGUUUCGGCAAGGGGGUCAUCCCGACUUACCAACCCGAUGCAAACUGCGAAUACCGGAGAAUGUUAUCACGGGAGACACACGGCGGGGGCUAACGUCCGUCGUGAAGAGGGAAACAACCCAGACCGCCAGCUAAGGUCCCAAAGUCAUGGUUAAGUGGGAAACGAUGUGGGAAGGCCCAGACAGCCAGGAUGUUGGCUUAGAAGCAGCCAUCAUUUAAAGAAAGCGUAAUAGCUCACUGGUCGAGUCGGCCUGCGCGGAAGAUGUAACGGGGCUAAACCAUGCACCGAAGCUGCGGCAGCGACGCUGAUGCGUUGUUGGGUAGGGGAGCGUUCUGUAAGCCUGCGAAGGUGUGCUGUGAGGCAUGCUGGAGGU